UUCAGAUACGGAGACCUGGUUCCAUUGAGUCCAUUCGGAAAAGUGGUCGGAAGUAUGUGUGCUUUGAUUGGAGUCCUCACACUUGCUCUUCCAGUUCCCAUUAUUGUAAGUCUA
Molecule: non-coding RNA, 114 nt
Organism: Caenorhabditis tropicalis
Lineage: Eukaryota; Metazoa; Nematoda; Chromadorea; Rhabditida; Rhabditidae
Source: Rfam